UCCUCUAUAUCUUCAAUCUAUAUCAUUCUACUUUAGAUGGACCUUUGGCGGUAAGUAUUUGCAGAAAUUUUCAACUUUUUUCUCAAAAUGUAUUAGUGGGAAUUCUAAUUGCAUUACACAAUGUGCAUGCUUGAGUUCCAAAUAAUUAAUUGAUUUUGCCAAUAUAGGUCUUUUACUGAUUUUUAGAGUACUUCAGUAAAUUUGAGUGGGAGAGCUAUUGUGUUAGUUUGAAUGGACCAGUUUGAAAAUCUUCCCUUCCUGAUAUAGUAGGUAAGAAUUAUUUUCAUGUUUGCGACACUGGAUGGCUUGAUGGUUGCUUAUUGAUUGAAUUCUAUCUCAUAGCCAAAAGACCAGAAAAUGGGAGGGAUGAACUUUUGCUAAGUGAAGAAUUUUUGCAAGAAUGUUUUGACAAGUUCUCUGUUCCGUCAAGGGGGAUUGAGACAGAAUCUACGGACAUUUCCUCAGAAGCAUCUUAAUAUAGUUGAUGUUCUAAAAGAGAAUAACAAUCUUGGACAUAGUAUCAACAGAGGUAGGAACUGCUUUUUCUAGUACAACGGACUUUUAGCACAACUAUGAGUCGAUGGUUACCUCAUUUAAAAGAACCACUGUACUGCCUAUAGAACUAUGAGUAGGGGAUUAUACAUUCACUAAAAGACCGAUGCCCAAUGGCUGAGCUACCUCUAUGAAAGCAGCAGUGCCGCAAACAAAUAUAGAAAGAACUUUGCCAGAAAUAAAUAAAAAUUAUUUUGCUUCCAUCUCCAUUUCUUUAAACCUAUUUUUUUAUUAAUGAGUCUCACUGUAAUGUUAUCUACACCUCCAAUGUUACCAUCACCUCAGCUUGCAUUACAACCGUGUCGCCAUUUUGUUUCUGAUUAUCGUUGAGUAUAAAUUGGCUUAUACUUCCCUUUUAAUUGUUUUAUCUGUUGUCAUGUUCUGGGCUUUUUACAGGUGAUUCUUAUCGAAUACGUAGUGCCUUUAAAUAUGGAGCUCUUAAGCUUGGACAAAUCCUUAUGUUGCCAAAUGAAAGAUUGGUAGAUGAACUUAACUAGCUCUUUGCAAGUACUUUAGACAGACAUGGAAAUAUGAGCUAUUGUAGCAUUUCACCGUAGCUUUUUUUUUUUUUUUAAUGUUACCAAAUGUCAUUCUAUGGUAACACUUAUUAAAAAAUGCUACAGUUUGACUAUUUAAUAAUGUUACUUUAUUCUUUAUUAUAUUUUACAGUCAAUUUGUAGCAUAUUGCUAGUGCUGCGUUUUAUUUUUAAUACCGUAGCACUUUAAAUAUGCUACAAACUAAUGUUGGGGCUCCUGGAAUUUUGUCCUCUAGAAAUAGAGACGAUUCAUCUACUUGUUUUCCUUAAGUACUAAUUAAUUUUGGUAUUUCCUUUCUGGCAAAAUCUCAUGAAGCUCCCUAUUGCAAUGGGCGAAUUGGAAAUGGAAGCUCUCAUGGAAGAAGACGGUCUAUAUCAUCCACUGGCAAUGAUGUGAGUUUUGCUUGAUGUUCAAAGCCUGAGAAUAGAAUAGUGGCUACCAGUUCAAUCUGCUUGUACAAAAGUCACGAGAUUAUAGCACCGAACAAUUAGGCACUUUUGAACCUUGCUGCUAACAACUCAGAAAAUUUAUCCUCGUCUCGUAGAGAAAGAAAGUAUUGAAACAUUUAAGAGAACUCUGAAUCUUUAAAACCUUUACUUGAUCUUUGUGGUCAGUACAAGAGCUGCUUCGACAAUUUGAUGUAUGCUAAGCAUUACUACUUGUCUGUACCUAUAUUGUUGAGUCCUAUCAUGUUGAAUUAGCAGCAGAAUAACAAUCUUGGAGAAGCCACCUAGCAAUCCCUACAGUUGAAAUCAAAGGCUUUUAUCAAAGUGAAUGCAAGUGGUGAUCCUAUGAAUCCUCCCAUGCCAUGCAAUGCUUUUAGUUCAGAAGAUAUUUAUUUUAAAGCAUUUUCUGGUUUUAGUUUCACUUAUGCUGAAAUCUUGUAGAAUUAUCAUUCAAAUGGAGAGAAUCAAUUGUCAGGGAGAGGUAGGUCUCAAGCAACAGGGGCUUAUAUUUAGAGAUACACUCAUAAAAAUGGCUAGGUGACAGUUCCAAUAGAGACAAAUACAGCUCCAACAGAGACAAAUUUUUCAGUGGAAGACA
RNAcentral lists this long non-coding RNA (2133 nucleotides) under Citrus sinensis (sweet orange). RNAcentral's name for it is "long non-coding RNA (CSIN_LNC005412)". The record is from RNAcentral. Lineage: Eukaryota; Viridiplantae; Streptophyta; Magnoliopsida; Sapindales; Rutaceae.